This 253-nucleotide ribosomal RNA is filed under the name uncultured bacterium. RNAcentral's name for it is "partial 16S ribosomal RNA". It matches the Rfam family "Bacterial small subunit ribosomal RNA", at positions 524 to 776 of the family's 1533-position model. The record is from RNAcentral.
GACGAACCGUGCGAACGUGGUUCGGAAUCACUGGGCUUGAAGGGCGCGUAGGCGGGCUGCCGCGUCCGGGGUGAAAUCCCACGGCUCAACCGUGGAACGGCCUCGGAUACGGGCGGUCUCGAGGGAGGUAGGGGCACGCGGAACUGUGGGUGGAGCGGUGAAAUGCGUUGAUAUCCACAGGAACUCCGGUGGCGAAGGCGGCGUGCUGGACCUCAUCUGACGCUGAGGCGCGAAAGCCAGGGGAGCAAACGGG